RNAcentral lists this ribosomal RNA (646 nucleotides) under uncultured Bacteroides sp. Its description in RNAcentral is "bacterial SSU rRNA". It matches the Rfam family "Bacterial small subunit ribosomal RNA", at positions 72 to 715 of the family's 1533-position model. The record is from RNAcentral. Lineage: Bacteria; Pseudomonadati; Bacteroidota; Bacteroidia; Bacteroidales; Bacteroidaceae.
UGGAGUAGCAUACUUCAGAUGGCGACCGGCGCACGGGUGAGUAACACGUAUCCAACCUUCCGCUUACUCGGGGAUAGCCUUUCGAAAGAAAGAUUAACACCCGAUGGUAUAAAGAGUUCGCAUGUUCUCUUUAUUAAAGAAUUUCGGUAAGCGAUGGGGAUGCGUUCCAUUAGAUUGUUGGCGGGGUAACGGCCCACCAAGUCUACGAUGGAUAGGGGUUCUGAGAGGAAGGUCCCCCACAUUGGAACUGAGACACGGUCCAAACUCCUACGGGAGGCAGCAGUGAGGAAUAUUGGUCAAUGGGCGAGAGCCUGAACCAGCCAAGUAGCGUGAAGGAUGACUGCCCUAUGGGUUGUAAAUUUCUUUUAUAAGGGAAUAAAGUGAGGGACGUGUCCCUUUUUGUAUGUACCUUAUGAAUAAGGAUCGGCUAACUCCGUGCCAGCAGCCGCGGUAAUACGGAGGAUCCAAGCGUUAUCCGGAUUUAUUGGGUUUAAAGGGAGCGUAGGUUGACAUAUAAGUCAGCUGUGAAAGUUUACGGCUCAACCGUGAAAUUGCAGUUGAUACUGUAUGUCUUGAGUGUACAAGAGGUGGGCGGAAUUCGUGGUGUAGCGGUGAAAUGCUUAGAUAUCACGAAGAACUCCGAUUG